GUNGUGGCNNNCNGUUAGAGUAACACGUGGGUAAACCUGCCCCGAAGCGGGGGAUAACAUUUGGAAACAAAUGCUAAUACCGCAUAAUUAGUCAGAACCGCAUGGUUCCGACUUGAAAGAUGGCUCUGCUAUCACUUCGGGAUGGACCCGCGCCGUAUUAGUUAGUUGGUGAGAUAAAAGCCCACCAAGACGAUGAUACGUAGCCGACCUGAGAGGGUAAUCGGCCACAUUGGGACUGAGACACGGCCCAGACUCCUACGGGAGGCAGCAGUAGGGAAUCUUCCACAAUGGACGAAAGUCUGAUGGAGCAACGCCGCGUGAGUGAUGAAGGGUUUCGGCUCGUAAAACUCUGUUGUUAAAGAAGAACAAGCAUGAGAGUAACUGUUCAUGCUUUGACGGUAUUUAACCAGAAAGCCACGGCUAACUACGUGCCAGCAGCCGCGGUAAUACGUAGGUGGCAAGCGUUGUCCGGAUUUAUUGGGCGUAAAGCGAGCGCAGGCGGUUUUGUAAGUCUGCUGUGAAAGCCCUCAGCUCAACUGAGGAAGUGCAGUGGAAACUACAAAACUUGAGUACAGAAGAGGAAAGUGGAACUCCAUGUGUAGCGGUGAAAUGCGUA
Molecule: ribosomal RNA, 616 nt
Filed under: Apilactobacillus kunkeei
Lineage: Bacteria; Bacillati; Bacillota; Bacilli; Lactobacillales; Lactobacillaceae
Description: bacterial SSU rRNA
Rfam family: Bacterial small subunit ribosomal RNA
Source: RNAcentral